GAUCGUCCAUAAGCUCAGGACGCGGCCCUCUCAAGGCUGAAACACGGGUUCGAAUCCCGUAGGGAGCGCCA
This 71-nucleotide transfer RNA is filed under the name Rhodospirillales bacterium URHD0017. Its description in RNAcentral is "tRNA_Glu_CTC". The stretch from base 5 to 60 matches the Rfam family "tRNA", at positions 10 to 63 of the family's 71-position model. Rfam says of the family: Transfer RNA (tRNA) molecules are approximately 80 nucleotides in length. Lineage: Bacteria; Pseudomonadati; Pseudomonadota; Alphaproteobacteria; Rhodospirillales. The record is from RNAcentral.